UGAGAAGGCCCAGAGACGUGCCUUCCUCUUCUUUCCAGGGUCCUGGCCUGUCUUGUCUGUUGGGCGGGUAUGCUUCCUUCCUGGCCUUCCUUGUGGAGCAUGUCUGGGAGUGUGCUAGGAAAUGAGGGAGGAAAAUAUGUAACUUGAUAUCUGCUCCUUGACCCUGGCUGACCUGGUUAACUCUCUCCAGGAUGGAAGCAAAGCCUGCCCGGGAAACCUUCCAUUGCAGGAACAUCUCGGCCUGAAGCUGUCAUCAGGGAGCAGGAUCUGCUUCCCGGACUCUGAGCAGAACAAUGGGAGCCCCAGCAGGCUGGCGAGGCUGACAAGCCCUAGGACGGUGACCUCUCCGAUCUCCAGAUCGGAAACUCAGAAACGUGUAAGUGCCAGAAUCCGCAUUUGGGAAUCUGUUAUUUCUCCCUCUGCGAGUCAACCUGAUCACCCUGGAAGCCUCACUGUCUCUCAGCCCUUGUUCCCAUUUUUCUUUCCAUGAACACCGCAAUCAGAUACGAGAUUCCAGUAAUGAUGGUUCUUGAAAAUUAAACAAAUCAAAAAGAAAGCCAGCCAAGGUAUGGAGUGGGGGACCUCUAAGUUCCCCUGGAGGAGACACUGGGGCCAGGUUCCGAGGUGCAUUCGGAGCCAGAAUCCCUAAUGGAAUUGAACAAUUAUCCUGAAGCUGCUCUCUGAAAGCCGCGGUUUUCCUAAAACACUGUGCUUGGCGUGCCUGGGCUUCUUGGCACUGGCCCAUGACCCACAGCAGCAAAUCGUUCCCAGGAAGCUAUUGUUAUUUGUGUAUCUGAUAGCAUUCAGCUGAGUACACUGACAGCAACAUUUAGAAAGGAAAAGAAAAAAGAAGCGUAGAGUGAAAAGGACAAAAAGGAGGCUUCCAACAUCCUGGUGGGAACAGAAAACCAGCAAAGCCUCUUUUCCAGCCCUUAUCCUUGUGAGUUUGGACUCUGCAGAACUGUCAUCCCCCAGGCAUAGCUGCAGCUUGUAUGAAGGUGGGCAUCAGGCGCGGAGAUUCAGGACAGUGUGCACCUGCUUUCCUCCAACGGGACCCCCUCUGUUCUUCCCAGGAAUGCCUGUAAACUGCCACUGCCUCUAGGGGCUGCACCAAGUCCCUGUGUACUCCCAGGACACAAUGGAGUGGAAUGGAGUGGCUCUGUUCUGUCAGGGCCUAACAUUCCAAAUGAAUUCAUUCCCUUCUGGGAAAAAAGAACCACCUUGCUCAGAGCACAAUGUUCCCAUGUCUUGGCUUACCUUGAAGCAUUUUUGAUACACCUGUUGGGACAAUGCGUUCUGCCAAGAGAAGGGAAGUAGCAUACUUUGUUCUAUUUUUUACUCUCAAUGGGCUACGUUUCCAUUGUGUUGGUUUCCCUUACAGAAAGUAACACACACAGAAGAGAAGGUUAUAGGAUUCCAUGCUGCUUGGCAAAGGCACAAAAUAUGUGCACAUAUUUACAUGGAAUAUGAGGGUAAACUAGAAAAUUAAGGGUAAUCUAAAAUAGAAAAAAAGAAGAAAACAAUAAGUUAAAAGUAUGAAAAGACAUCCAGAAUGAGCAAGUUACUGAGGUUGUGCCUCAACUUUAGCUUGAGUUUCCUGGCAGCAAAGGUAAAAAGAAAGAGCACAGUGGCUGCAGCACAGAGCGUGAAUUGAGGGGAGCAAGACUGGCCACGGCGAGAAGGCAACACGCAGGUGAUCUUACAGCUGGAAAAUCAGUGGGUGAAAACGGAGAUACAGCAACUCUGUCUUGGACUACACCUUAACUGAAGACGUCUAUGUAGGUGACGAAAACUCAUGGAAGGACUUGCCACAAUUCAAACAUGGGCUUUUGGGGUUUCUGAGACCAACAGAACCACCAUAUACUUUGUGGGUGUAGGGAUUCUCCCUGCAUGUUGAGCCUGUCACCCUAAUGACAACCAGCUUUGCAUUAACUAGAGUCAGCCCCAAAAAUGCAUCUGUUACUCCAGAGAAGGACAAAUCCUUAUUAUUACUUUAUAGGAUUUUCUCUACUAGGGGCUUCCAUAAAGUAAACAUGCUUUCAGGAAAUUAACAGAGUAAUUUUAAGCCAAAAUCCAUAGCAUUAAAAACAAAUAAACCCCAAAUGAUAGCAAUGUAUUUGGGGGGAAAAAAGCAUGUAAUCAACUGCCUGCAUAAUUUAAACUACCAAAGCUUUGAAGCUCCUUAACAUCACCAUCACCUCCCUUUUAGACACUGUCACCCAGUAGAAGAAAUUCACAGCCCUGCUGCUCUAAUGAGUAUGUUUCAGUAAACACAGAAGAAAUCAUUUUCACAGCCCCCAUGCAUUUCUCAGCAAGCACUCAAAUCUUUCAAACCCAUUCCAGGGGGAAGUUUCCAUCCCAAUCUUUUCCCUCAUAUUUCAUCUCUAAGAGCACCCCUCCCCCAUCUGAGAUCCACAAGUUACAAAAAUUACUGUUUCAGGUUUCUCAUCAUUAUCUGUUAAAAAACUAAAAUUACAGAUGAGAUAGUAUUCUACAGUCCCAGGAACUCCAACUGUUCAGGAAACGUGAGUAACAGAAGUAACGCGGUAUACAAUGAAAACAAACAUCUUCCUGUCUUUGGAGCAACUGAGAAGCAAAC
RNAcentral lists this long non-coding RNA (2599 nucleotides) under Homo sapiens (human). RNAcentral describes it as "HSALNT0356528". Lineage: Eukaryota; Metazoa; Chordata; Mammalia; Primates; Hominidae. The record is from RNAcentral.